This 301-nucleotide ribosomal RNA is filed under the name uncultured bacterium. RNAcentral describes it as "partial 16S ribosomal RNA". It matches the Rfam family "Bacterial small subunit ribosomal RNA", at positions 509 to 807 of the family's 1533-position model. The record is from RNAcentral.
CAGCAGCCGCGGGAAUACGGAGGGGGCUAGCGUUGUUCGGAAUUACUGGGCGUAAAGCGCACGUAGGCGGCUUGGUAAGUUAGAGGUGAAAGCCCGGAGCUCAACUCCGGAAUUGCCUUUAAGACUGCCGAGCUAGUAGGUGAGAGAGGUAAGUGGAAUUCCGAGUGUAGAGGUGAAAUUCGUAGAUAUUCGGAAGAACACCAGUGGCGAAGGCGGCUUACUGGCUCAUUCUAGACGCUGAGGUGCGGAAGCGUGGGGAGCAAACAGGAUUAGAUACCCGAGUAGUCCCUGUCUCUUAUAC